RNA transcript from Vespula vulgaris, 3021 nucleotides. It is a transcript of the gene named tenascin-like, with no coding region annotated. The record is from RefSeq and is a predicted model, not a curated record. The transcript has 8 exons. Lineage: Eukaryota; Metazoa; Arthropoda; Insecta; Hymenoptera; Vespidae.
CGUAUGGAGAAUCCGCGAGAAAUGAUAAUGGAAAACAUCCUGUCACAUUCAGAUAACAUUGAACAGUUUCACGAAGAAAGGAAGCAAGAUAAAUUGGACGAUAUUCAAAGUCAUGAAAAUAUUCUCUGACUGCCAGACAAACAUUGUUUCGCCGUAGUACCAAGUAUAUCUUUCGUUAACAUGAGAUUUAACAUUGCAUCCUUAUAUGUCAUCGUUUAUUUGAUGGUCGAGCUGCCCAAAAUAUCAACCCUAUUUCCUUGGAAAGACAUGAAAGACCAGUCAAUUUGUUUGGAAAUUAUAACAAAGAUGCAAUUCCGUAACGUGCCUUAUUAUGAGACAUACUGGCACCGUGUUCUGGGAAUCUACAAACAGGAAAGACAUCGUAUCAAUUACAAAAUUGAAUAUUACCCGACAUUUCACACACAAAAAAAGUGCUGUAACGGAUACAAAGAGGUAUCAAAUAAAUGCGUUCCUAAUUGCUUUCCAGACUGUGAGAACGGAUUAUGUAAAGCUCCGGACACAUGUGAGUGCUUUCCAGGAUAUUCCAUAUCAACGGAGGAGAAACAUAUUUGUAAACCGAUUUGUUCGAAUGGUUGUUGGAAUGGCGAAUGCAUUCAACCCGAAGUUUGUAUCUGCUACCCGGAUUACUUCAUAGAUUCCGACGGAUACAUUUGCCGUCCCAAUUGCGAAGAGAAGUGCGAUCCUAAUAACGGCUAUUGUGUAGAACCGAAUACUUGUGGUUGUAAUUUUGGAUAUAAGAAAUCAAACGAAUCGGAGAUGUGCGAUCCGAUUUGCGAACGCGAAUGUAUCAACGGCAGGUGCGUCGAACCAAACACCUGCAGCUGCUACGACGAUUACGAACUGGAUGUUAACGAUUCGUUCAAUUGUAUUCCAAAAUGCGAACAGAAUUGUCUCUUCGGAACAUGUACAGCUCCCAACGUUUGCACGUGCAACAUCGGAUACAAACCAAUCAACGAAAGUGAUUGCAAACCGAUCUGCAAUCAACCGUGUGUAAUGGGUGUCUGUAUAGCACCUGACAUCUGCAACUGCAUCGUCGGCUACAAAUUUUCGAACAUUUCCGUGCACGUUUGCGAACCACAUUGCGAGCAUGAAUGUAUCAAUGGAACUUGCAUUGCUCCGAAUAUUUGCAAAUGCAACGAAGGAUUCACCUUCGAUGAAGACGAUGAAACAAGGACUGUCUGUAAACCUUUUUGCACCUUUCCCUGCGAUCCCAAUGCUGAAUGCACCGCGCCUGAUCGCUGCACUUGUCAUGAAGGAUAUCGUUUCUUUGGGGAAAAUGAUACAACGAACAACAUUAGUACGGUAUCGAAUAACGAAAAUGGCACCAUCUGCGUCCCGGUAUGUAAAAAAGAUUGCGAGAACGGCAAAUGUGUCUUUCCUGAUGUUUGCAUCUGCGAAGAAGGAUAUGAUAAAGUUUGGGUGCAAAUGAUACCAGAUAACAUAAACAGUUAUCCCUGUACAUCAAUUUGUAAAAAAGUCUGUGAUUUGAACGGCAAUUGCAACGCACCUGAUAAUUGUAUAUGCAAUAAUACGUAUCAUAACACGAAAAUACAAGGUAAAUACAUUUGUCAACCUUCUUGCAAUAUAAACUGUGAGCAUGGUACGUGCGAGGCUCCAAAUGUUUGCACCUGCGACGAAGGAUACAAACAAAACGAGAAGGGUCGAUGCGUCGAUGCGAUUUGUCAUCCUUCUUGUAUCAAUGGCACUUGCACCAAACCAAACGUUUGUACUUGUUACGAUGGUUAUCGUCUACGAAACGAGACAAUUUGUGAGCCAAUUUGCGAAAGUUCUUGUCUAAACGGAACAUGCGUGGCACCGAAUACUUGUCGAUGUAACGAAGGUUAUUUCGAAAUAAAAAACGACAAUGUUUCUACUUGUGCCUCGACGUGUUCUCGAAACUGUAGCGAGCAUGGUACUUGCCUCGAUGAACAAAACUCCUGCUCUUGUUUCUUUGGAUGGACCGGUGUAAAUUGUGACGAAGCCAGCCUCUGCGUUUACGAAACAACUCUCGAUUCGAUUCUCCUUUCUUCGAUUACAAUCAUGAAUGAGACGAACAGCACGUUGACGAAGAGCUACGAUAACGCGCCUCUUUGUUAUCAAUGUUUCGAUUCCGUCGACAAUGCGACAUUGUGUUUCGUCGUACAUUCGAACGAAUCGCUUACAAUACCAACAGUUGGUUGUUUCCUUAGUACAGAAUUGCCAUGCUACAGGAGACCACAUAAUAAUGCAUUGAAAAGCUCUUCCAAUAUAAUGGAGUUGCUGAUAGUAAUCACAAUAGCUAUCACAAUAGUUGCUACUAUAAAUGGAUAUAUAAUUGCUCGCAAAUGUCGAAAGCAAUCAACGAUUUUAAUACCGAACGAGCAAAUUAAUUCGUUGACAAGUGAUAGUGAUACUCUGAUAAUGAGAGACGAGGAUUAUCUAAUCGAACAAUGACAAGUGUAAGAGAUUAGAAGUCUUCUCGGGCUUCAACAAGAGACCUAUACAACAUAACUGAAAAUAUUAUGUAUUCUUUUUCCGAGGCCUCUGAUCGAUCAUUUAUCGUCUGUCGUCUCCACCCUUUGACGAAACAUGCCGAAUAAUAUAAGUAAACGAGUGAGCGAGCGAGCGAGCGGACGAACAAGCAUCCCUGAUCGCGAUGCGAAGCAACAGAGAGCAUCGAGCAGAUCGCGCAGCUGCAGGCAACGGUCGGUGGUCGGACGGCGGGUGACGAACGGUGAGCGGCGUUAAACGGGUGGCAAGGGCCGUGUCGGUGGGGUUGCAAUGCGGGAGAAGACGCAACUAGCAGUUUCGAGCGGUUUCUCUCCGGUCAGAGUGUACUCGCUGCUGGAGCAGCGUGGUAACGUCUACGUUCAGGUCGCGUUUUAUUCCCGAGAAACAAUAGAACUGCACCUACGUGUAAGAAACAUUACUCCGGCGACGCAACUUAACGAAAGAAGGAAGGAUAAGCGUAGAAAGAAAAUCGAAGAAGAAGAAGAAGAAGAAGAAGAAAAAGAAGAAAAA